RNAcentral lists this ribosomal RNA (497 nucleotides) under uncultured bacterium. Its description in RNAcentral is "bacterial SSU rRNA". It matches the Rfam family "Bacterial small subunit ribosomal RNA", at positions 28 to 514 of the family's 1533-position model. The record is from RNAcentral.
GAUGAACGCUAGCUACAGGCUUAACACAUGCAAGUCGAGGGGCAGCGGGAUUGAAGCUUGCUUCAAUUGCCGGCGACCGGCGCACGGGUGAGUAACGCGUAUCCAACCUUCCGUACACUCAGGGAUAGCCUUUCGAAAGAAAGAUUAAUACCUGAUGGUAUGAUGAGAUUGCAUGAUAGCAUCAUUAAAGAUUUAUCGGUGUACGAUGGGGAUGCGUUCCAUUAGGUAGUAGGCGGGGUAACGGCCCACCUAGCCUACGAUGGAUAGGGGUUCUGAGAGGAAGGUCCCCCACAUUGGAACUGAGACACGGUCCAAACUCCUACGGGAGGCAGCAGUGAGGAAUAUUGGUCAAUGGGGCAGAGCCUGAACCAGCCAAGUAGCGUGAAGGAUGACGGCCCUAUGGGUUGUAAACUGCUUUUAUAAGGGAAUAAAGUGAGUCUCGUGAGACUUUUUGCAUGUACCUUAUGAAUAAGGACCGGCUAAUUCCGUGCCAGCAG